GGCCGCGUGGCCCAAUGGCAAGGCGUCUGACUACGAAUCAGGAGAUUGCAGGUUCGAGCCCUGCCGUGGUCA
This 72-nucleotide transfer RNA is filed under the name Verticillium albo-atrum. RNAcentral's name for it is "tRNA-Arg". It matches the Rfam family "tRNA". From Rfam's summary of the family: Transfer RNA (tRNA) molecules are approximately 80 nucleotides in length. Their secondary structure includes four short double-helical elements and three loops (D, anti-codon, and T loops). RNAcentral also lists the same sequence under 3 other names. The record is from RNAcentral. Lineage: Eukaryota; Fungi; Ascomycota; Sordariomycetes; Glomerellales; Plectosphaerellaceae.